AAAUACUUACACGCUUGAUUAGCUUGAUUAAUAGUUACUAGAUUUUAACCCGCGGUAUAUCGCGGGGACAAUAUUUUUUUUUAAAAGUUAGUAUAUAUAAAAGUUUGUAAAUUGUAUCUAUCUAUUAAAUAUUUUUAUUUUAUAGUUUACAAUUGUUAUUAAGUAACGUCCUGCCAAACCCAUUCCGCCAACCCGUCCUGUAAAAAAACCUAUUUAUUUUAUUAAUGUUGAUCUUAUUUAUGAUAUGUUUAUGAAUUAUUGUCUAAAUAUUUUGUAAUUUUGUAGUAAUUAACUACUAUCAAAUAUCUCUGCGGUUUGAUGCUUAUAAUCGAAUUGUUAAAGUCAUGCAAAAAAACAAUAUCAAAAAUGAUAAUUUUGUCAUUUUUAAAUAUGUUAAAUAUUUUGAAAGUUUUAUUUUACU
RNAcentral lists this small RNA (421 nucleotides) under Arabidopsis thaliana (thale cress). RNAcentral describes it as "ATSL185130". Lineage: Eukaryota; Viridiplantae; Streptophyta; Magnoliopsida; Brassicales; Brassicaceae. The record is from RNAcentral.